CUACGUGCCAGCAGCCGCGGUAAUACGGAAGGUCCGGGCGUUACCCGGAUUUAUUGGGUUUAAAGGGAGCGUAGGCCGGAGAUUAAGUGUGUUGUGAAAUGUAGACGCUCAACGUCUGAAUUGCAGCGCAUACUGGUUUCCUUGAGUACGCACAACGUUGGCGGAAUUCGUCGUGUAGCGGUGAAAUGCUUAGAUAUGACGAAGAACUCCGAUUGCGAAGGCAGCUGACGGGAGCGCAACUGACGCUUAAGCUCGAAGGUGCGGGUAUCGAACAGGAUUAGAUACCCUGGUAGUCCGCACAGUAAACGAUGGAUGCCCGCUGUUGGUACCUGGUAUCAGCGGCUAAGCGAAAGCAUUAAGCAUCCCACCUGGGGAGUACGCCGGCAACGGUGAAACUCAAAGGAAUUGACGGGGGCCCGCACAAGCGGAGGAACAUGUGGUUUAAUUCGAUGAUACGCGAGGAACCUUACCCGGGCUUGAAUUGCAGAGGAAGGAUUUAGAGAUA
This 505-nucleotide ribosomal RNA is filed under the name uncultured bacterium. Its description in RNAcentral is "bacterial SSU rRNA". It matches the Rfam family "Bacterial small subunit ribosomal RNA", at positions 501 to 1008 of the family's 1533-position model. The record is from RNAcentral.